RNAcentral lists this long non-coding RNA (224 nucleotides) under Elaeis guineensis (African oil palm). Its description in RNAcentral is "long non-coding RNA (EGUI_LNC072444)". The record is from RNAcentral. Lineage: Eukaryota; Viridiplantae; Streptophyta; Magnoliopsida; Arecales; Arecaceae.
CAUCGCUAAGUAUUUAAAGGGGGGUGCGUCGGGUGAUUGGAUUCAUUCAGAUUUCCAAUUCUUCCUUUCUUUCUAACAAUCUCUCCCUAUUAUCCAAUUAGUCUCUUCCUUCUCUUGUUAGGAUAAGUCUAAAAAUAGUAAGGACAAGUCCGAUAUUAGGACAAGAGUCUAUGAAGAGAAUUAAGGAAGACAAGGAGAGAAGAAAGAUAGGGAUAGGAAGGCAG